This is an RNA transcript of Eubalaena glacialis (North Atlantic right whale), 2743 nucleotides long. RefSeq lists it as uncharacterized. NCBI's taxonomy places the organism in Eukaryota, Metazoa, Chordata, Mammalia, Artiodactyla, Balaenidae. The record is from RefSeq and is a predicted model, not a curated record. The transcript is spliced from 5 exons.
ACUGCUCACACUUCAGCGUCCCAAACCCCAGCCAGAGGAGACGCUGUCCCUCGAGGCCAGAAGCCACUGGCACUGACCACGCGGAGGGAUGCGGGGGUGGAAGGACUGUCUCCCCACUCCGCACCCCAAAUCCUCAACCCAACUUUGGCCCGAGAGGCAAGCAGCAGACUGGGAGAAAGUUAGGGGUGGGGUAGAGCGUGGAGGAAAAAAAGUUUAAGGAGGGAAGGCUUGGUGGGAUAGCUUCCCCCAACACCCCCCAUCGGAGACUGGAAAGGGGAGGAUUUGGGAGAUUGGAGAAGGCGAGAGAGGAUGGGGUUAUGGGCCGGGCGGAGAGGGGCACCCGGAGCGAACUCCCCCGAAAGCCGAGGUGGGUGGCGUCCUGGGGCACCCGGGGCGAGGAGGGCGGGCGCGGAGCUCGGCGCACCGGGCAGCCCGGCCGGGCAGCCCCGAAGCGGAGCCGUUUCUCUUACCUGCCGCCCGCUUGGGUGCCUGCUGUUUCCUCCUUGGCAUCGCUCUACUUCGCUCCAGUCCCACUUCUGGCGCCCCAGCCCCGAGCCGCGCGCGGGGGCCCGCGGUCUCUCUCGCCUCUCUGGGUCUCCUCCGCCUCCUGCCCGGUGGCUCCUAGGGCGUCACUCGGCCUCUGUCCCCCUGACGAUCCCCCCUGCAACUCCUCCACCACGGGCCAGAGACCCCCCUCUCUGGGUGGCAGACACGGACGGCUGUGCCGGCUGGUUGGAAGUAGAGGCAGACUGCCACGUGCAGCGCCUCAUUUGGAUGUGUCUGGAGUCUUGGAAGCUUGACUACCCUACGUUCUCCUACAAAUGGACCUUGAGAGCUUGUUUGGAGGUUCUCGCAGGGGAGCUCAGCUACUCGUAUACCCUUGACCGAAGAACGGUCCUCCGCUAUCGGGGAAGGUCGUCCUCUUCGACCAAGCGCGCAGCUUCGGGAGGGAUGCACAUGGAGCGGAAGCCUUCCAGGGUGGAUCCCGUGUGAUUCAAACUUCUCUAGUCCGUAUCUUCCCCAAACAAAGAGACUCAAUGUAGAGUAUGACUCCAAAUAUAUGAGCAUACAGGCAGACAGAACUCAUCUUGAAUAUCAGGAUACCUCUCUUCCAGUAACUGUUCUGUGAAAACUUUAAGGUAGCAAUCUCUGGUUAUUUCCUACCCUCCCAUGACACCUGGUACAGCAUCAUGCUGAAGGGGAGAACUGGACAAGAGAACAUGGCAGAUGGAUGGUGGAGAGUGACAGCAAGAGUAAAGCAGGGUGUUGUGACAGAGAGCGCACGGGGUAGGGUCCACGCAGGGUGGGGGUCAUGGAAAGCCUUUCUGAGAAGAUAACAUUUAAACUGAGAUCUGGAAGACACAAAGCAGCCAACCAGGAGCCAAAGCCUGAAAUUGGAAGAGAUUUCUCUGCUUCUAAAACACAAAAAUGCAGCUGCCAGGUCCCAGGUUGAGAGAGCCAGCCAGCCAGCCCGGGGAAAGGGGAGCAGAAAGGAGGCAAGAGAGGUGACUACUUGCAGUUGGUGACGGUGUUUUGCUGCUGCUGAAGAAUCCCGACCACGUCGCUGGCCCAGUAAUCCAUUGCUCAACUUCAUUAACCACAGGAAGACAUUAAGUGAAUGUAAGGACCGGAACAGCCUGGAAACCAUGUGACGAGCAGCCUUUAAGUUCUGGGCUCCGGUAUAUUUUAUGCCACCUCAACUGCGCAUCAAGCUCUCCUCCCUGGACUCAUUAGAACUGUGUGCCCAAAGGUGCCCCUCAACUUUCAGAAGCAAAUAGAGUAUGAUAUAAUUCGCUCUGAGAACACCUUUCUGUCUUAUCAGGGAGCAUGUCUUAUCUAUUAUGAUUAGGCAUUAAGCGUCCUAUUGUCCUGAAAAUUUCAUGAGAUUCUACCCCUGCUUGCUAGGAUUAUGCCAAAGUGACUUGUCCUAGAUGCUGUGUUUGCCCAUCAAUACAGCUUGUCUUUUCUCCUUAACUAUUGCUGGGAAGGCCAACACAGCUAAGGAACUCACAGACGUAAAGUGGUUGAAUAGUUCGGGACUGUUGCAAAUCCUCCUGUGUGUCUUGAAGGUUUGCAUAUCUUGCUUUUGGUUCCCCAAGAAGCACACACCCCAAGAUAAAGAUUUGAGAGCAAGUAGUUUAUUUGGGAGAUUAUCCUGGAAAACUCCAGUAGGGAAGUGGGGGAGUGAAUAAAGAAAAGGAUGUAGGCAAUAGGGGUGUGUUAUCAAGCAGGUUAUCACAGUGGGCAAUUGCAACUUAAUCCUGCUGGGGGAACGCUGGGAGUCAGUGUAGAUUAUGCACUUCUGAGAUAUCCCUUCUGAAGUAUGAGAGAGCUGGGGUAUCCAUCUACAUUCCAUCCUGAGAGCUGGGAUGAGGGCCUCUCCUGGCCUUCCCUGCAGGCAAAAAGCCACAGGUGCUGGCAGUUAAAGCGGAGUGUGGAGAAGUGGGCCGAGUACCAGGCGAUGUCUGUUGCAUUGGAAUCCCCCAAACUGGGAGCUUCACAUGGUCAAGGACCAAGACUGUCUCUUAUUCAUUGCAAUGUCUCCACUUAGCCUAGUGCCAGGUACACAGCAGAACUUCAAUAAACAGCAGACCUUCAAUAACGAUCUAGCGAAGGCCCAGUGUAUUUGAAAGCUUCACACCAUGCCUCUUUUAGUUGCUCCCUCUGUUUUAGUGCUAUUGUUUAUAAUGUAUUUAGUGCUUAGAAGUCUUUUUUUUUUUUUUUUAAUUUUAGCUGUUACAUU